UACGGAGGGUGCAAGCGUUAUCCGGAUUCACUGGGUUUAAAGGGUGCGUAGGCGGGUUGGUAAGUCCGUGGUGAAAUCCCCAAGCUUAACUUGGGAACUGCCGUGGAUACUAUCAAUCUUGAAUAUCGUGGAGGUAAGCGGAAUAUGUCAUGUAGCGGUGAAAUGCUUAGAUAUGACAUAGAACACCAAUUGCGUAGGCAGCUUACUACACGAUCAUUGACGCUGAGGUGCGAAAGCGUGGGGAGCAAACAGG
This 253-nucleotide ribosomal RNA is filed under the name uncultured bacterium. Its description in RNAcentral is "partial 16S ribosomal RNA". It matches the Rfam family "Bacterial small subunit ribosomal RNA", at positions 524 to 776 of the family's 1533-position model. The record is from RNAcentral.